RNAcentral lists this long non-coding RNA (722 nucleotides) under Chlamydomonas reinhardtii. RNAcentral describes it as "long non-coding RNA (CREI_LNC000005)". The record is from RNAcentral. Lineage: Eukaryota; Viridiplantae; Chlorophyta; Chlorophyceae; Chlamydomonadales; Chlamydomonadaceae.
CGCAGAAGGUAAGGGGCCCCAGCGAUGCGGAUCCGUCAUCUUGCGAGUCAGCAACAUAGCAGCGAAAGUAGCUAAGACAAGUAUUAUAUUUUAGACACACUCAAUUGCAUAGCAUCGAGUCCGCUGCCGCAAGAAAACCAUAGUUGAGGCGGAUUUCGUCGCAUACGGUGGCGCUGGCCUAAAUGAAUUUGUAUAAAUGUAGAAUACUCCAUUAUAGCCACUCACGUACUUAUCGCAAUCCUUGCUGGCGGGUGAGCUGCGAGCGCGGGCUUGUCUCCUUAAUGCAAGCAGCCAUGCUGGCAGCCAUAUCAAGUGCGUCUUUUAGUCGCUGAAGAUGCCAUCUAAAAAGUGCAGACGGUUUCGCCGCAAGCCGACUGUGCCGAUCGAUCGAACCUCGUGCCGCCUCAUGCCCCGCUGUGCCCUGCGGAUCUUCAACUGGCCAUGCUACAGACUGGAAGUUGCUGUUCAAUACCUGCAGACCAUACGUGCAUGCCUGAAGAGUAGCGGUGCCCAGUACUCUUCUGAGUGCCGCUGCAGAUGUUGAUAUGUAUCCUCUCCUGACGUCAAUCCACCCUCCUAUCGAUCUCAUGGCAGUUUCCAUAAAAUGACGCUUGCGGGGCACGCCCAAUGGAUCGCUACGCUAGGCGACCUGCUGCUGCUAAUCGAUUGUUGGCGGGCACGCAUUUUGCUUUACUGACACACUCACAGCGUUGUUGGACCAG